RNAcentral lists this ribosomal RNA (117 nucleotides) under Candidatus Avanaerovorax faecigallinarum. Lineage: Bacteria; Bacillati; Bacillota. The record is from RNAcentral.
UCCGGUGACAAUGGCGGGGAGGACACACCUGUACCCAUCCCGAACACAGAAGUUAAGCUCCCCAGCGCCGAUGAUACCUGGCGGGAGACUGCCCGGGAAAGCAGGACGUUGCCGGUU